RNAcentral lists this non-coding RNA (18 nucleotides) under Arabidopsis thaliana (thale cress). Lineage: Eukaryota; Viridiplantae; Streptophyta; Magnoliopsida; Brassicales; Brassicaceae. The record is from RNAcentral.
CUGAGCUUUCUCGUCAUC